GUCGGGCGGUANCNGGNNGAAGCUUGCUUCUCNGCUGACGAGCGGCNGANGGGUGAGUAAUGUAUGGGGAUCUGCCUGAUGGAGGGGGAUAACUACUGGAAACGGUAGCUAAUACCGCAUAAUGUCUNCGGACCAAAGCGGGGGACCUNCGGGCCUCGCGCCAUCAGAUGAACCCAUAUGGGAUUAGCUUGUAGGUGAGGUAACGGCUCACCUAGGCGACGAUCCCUAGCUGGUCUGAGAGGAUGAUCAGCCACACUGGGACUGAGACACGGCCCAGACUCCUACGGGAGGCAGCAGUGGGGAAUAUUGCACAAUGGGCGCAAGCCUGAUGCANCCAUGCCGCGUGUAUGAAGAAGGCCUUCGGGUUGUAAAGUACUUUCAGUCGGGAGGAAGGUGGUAAGGUUAAUAACCUUAUCAAUUGACGUUACCGACAGAAGAAGCACCGGNUAACUCCGUGCCNNCAGCCGCNNUNNUACGGAGGGUGCAAGCGUUNAUCNGANUUACUGGGCGUAAAGCGCACGCNGGNGGUUGANUGANUCANANGUGAAAUCCCCGGGCUUA
RNAcentral lists this ribosomal RNA (561 nucleotides) under Morganella morganii. RNAcentral describes it as "partial 16S ribosomal RNA". It matches the Rfam family "Bacterial small subunit ribosomal RNA", at positions 61 to 611 of the family's 1533-position model. Lineage: Bacteria; Pseudomonadati; Pseudomonadota; Gammaproteobacteria; Enterobacterales; Morganellaceae. The record is from RNAcentral.